UACGUAGGGAGCAAGCGUUGUCCGGAAUCAUUGGGCGUAAAGCGCGCGUAGGCGGCCUCGUAAGUCCGUUGUGAAAGUCAAAGGCUCAACCUUUGAAAGCCGAUGGAUACUGUGAGGCUAGAGUCCGGAAGAGGCGAGUGGAAUUCCUGGUGUAGCGGUGGAAUGCGCAGAUAUUGGGAAGAACACCGGUGGCGAAGGCGGCUAUCUGGCCCGUAAUUGACGCUGAGGCGCGAAAGCGUGGGGAGCAAACAGG
This 253-nucleotide ribosomal RNA is filed under the name uncultured bacterium. Its description in RNAcentral is "partial 16S ribosomal RNA". It matches the Rfam family "Bacterial small subunit ribosomal RNA", at positions 524 to 776 of the family's 1533-position model. The record is from RNAcentral.